UCUGCGCGGCUUGCAACAGGUGCCCCCAGCGCUAUGCGCGUGCGGGGUGAAACAGGGAAGUCGGUGCGUUGUGCGUGUGUACGCCAACCAUUCCGACGCUGCCCCCGCAACGGUAAGUGAGUCAAACGCCGCAACUGCCACUGUGCUGUAUGCAUGGGAAGGCGCGGCUUGGAACCUGUUCACGAUCUGCUGCGCGUCGGCGCUACUGCGUUAAAAACAAGCUCGGAAUGCUCAUUUACAGCUCGUAAACUCCGCUUCCUCGCUUAUUUUUGCCUUGUAUCGCUCUAGCUCGCGAGAUCGUGGACAGGCUCUAAGAACCUAUUGCUAGGUUCGCUCACAAGCCCGGAGACCGGCCUGUCGCAGUCCACAGCA
This 372-nucleotide non-coding RNA is filed under the name Pseudomonas sp. Lineage: Bacteria; Pseudomonadati; Pseudomonadota; Gammaproteobacteria; Pseudomonadales; Pseudomonadaceae. RNAcentral also lists the same sequence under 1 other name. The record is from RNAcentral.